RNAcentral lists this ribosomal RNA (1492 nucleotides) under uncultured bacterium. RNAcentral describes it as "partial 16S ribosomal RNA". It matches the Rfam family "Bacterial small subunit ribosomal RNA". The record is from RNAcentral.
AGAGUUUGAUCCUGGCUCAGAACGAACGUUGGCGGUGUGGAUUAGGCAUGCAAGUCGAACGAAUGCUGUCUGUGUAGCAAUACAUGGGCAGAGGAAGUGGCGAAAGGGGCAGUAAUGCGUGGGUAACCUACCUUGGGGUUGGGCAUAGCCGUUCUAACGAGCGGGUAAUUCCCAGAGAUUCAGCGGGGCGGCAUCGUCCUGCUGGGAAAGAAUUUCGCCUCGAGAGGGGCCCACGUGCUAUUAGCUAGUUGGUGAGGUAACGGCUCACCAAGGCUAAAAUGGCUAGCGGGGUGUGAGAGCACGACCCGCGGCACUGGGACUGGAACAACUGGGCAAACACCCUCCGGUGGCCGGAAUCCAAGGACUUUCUUCAUGGGGCCCAGGCUGAACGAACGACACCCCCGUGGGCGAAGAAAGCCCUUCCGGGUGGAAAGCGCCAAAGUGGAGAAAAAGGGAAACUUUGAUCAAUCCCCAGUAAGGACGGGCUAAGUUCCUGGGCAACCACCCCCGGUAGAAGAACUGGCCUAAAGUUGUUCGGGAAACACUGGGCUUUAAAGGCGCGUAACGGCCCCACAACCCGGGGGAACUUGCACUCACCUGUGAAAUGCUUUGUACUGGCGGCUUAGGAAAUAAGGUGUGCGGAACUUCCCUGGAGCGUGAAAUGCGUUGAUAUUGUAAGGAAGCCCCAGCGCAAAGCGCGCAUGGAGUUCUCUUCACGCUCAGGCGCAAGCUAUGGAGCAACGGAUAAUAUACCCCCUGUUAGCUCCAGCUCUUAACGAAGGAGUUACUAGAUGGUAGACUUUCCAUGGGCUUCACAGCUCGAAGCAAAAGUUUUAAGUACUUCYSCCUUGGGGAGUAUGUUCGCAAGGGCUGAAACUCAAGAGAAAUUGGCGGGGGGCUCCCCCCAAGCGGGGGAGCAUGGGGUUUAUUUGGAGUUUACGGGAAGACCUUUUUCCUGGACUUACCAUGUGCGAAAGCUUCUGGGGGUAGUUUCCCGGAAAACGGGGAGAGGAAGGUAUCCAUUCUUGACCCAGAUCCAGGUGCUGCCAUGGCUGUCGUCAGCUCGGUUCGUGGAGAUGUCGGGUAAAGUCCCCAUAACGAGGCGAAACCUUGUUUCCAGUUGCCAGCGAGUAAUGUCGGGGACUCUGGAAAGACUGCCGGUGUUAAACCGGAGGAAGGUGGGGAUGACGUCAAGUCCUCAUGGCCUUUAUGCCCAGGGCUGCACACGUGCUACAAUGCAACGAACAAAGGGAAGCCAACCCGCGAGGGGGAGCCAAUCCCAAAAAACGUUGCCCAGUUCAGAUCGAAGGCUGCAACUCGCCUUCGUGAAGUUGGAAUCGCUAGUAAUCGCGGGUCAGCAACACCGCGGUGAAUGUGUUCCUGAGCCUUGUACACACCGCCCGUCAAGCCACGAAAGAGAGGAGCGCCCGAAGUCGCGUCAAAGUGCCGAAGGCGAAACUCUUGAUUGGGACUAAGUCGUAACAAGGUAACC